CGGGUGAGUAACACGUGAGCAACCUGCCCCGAAGACCGGGAUAACAGUGGGAAACCGCUGCUAAUACCGGAUACCCCCACAGGGUCACAUGGCCUGGUGAGGAAAUGGAUUCCGCUUCGGGAGGGGCUCGCGGCCUAUCAGCUUGUUGGUGGGGUAACGGCCUACCAAGGCUUCGACGGGUAGCUGGUCUGAGAGGACGAUCAGCCACACUGGGACUGAGACACGGCCCAG
Molecule: ribosomal RNA, 231 nt
Filed under: uncultured bacterium
Lineage: Bacteria
Description: partial 16S ribosomal RNA
Rfam family: Bacterial small subunit ribosomal RNA
Source: RNAcentral